RNAcentral lists this long non-coding RNA (379 nucleotides) under Homo sapiens (human). Its description in RNAcentral is "uncharacterized LOC105379342, transcript variant 3 (LOC105379342)". The record is from RNAcentral. Lineage: Eukaryota; Metazoa; Chordata; Mammalia; Primates; Hominidae.
CACGAUCCUUCUCAGCUACCUUGGCAGCAUUCUGUCAGAAACCAGUCAACAAACAGAGCAGGGAAAAACAGCACCCCGAAGACAGCAUUCAGGACCCAGCCCUUUAGACAAAAGGGAUCAGAUCAGGUCUACUAGAUGGCCUCAUUCAGUCAGACACACCCAGUUAAGCAGCCCUGGAAAGGGACUCUAGAGAAUGCUAGAAGUACUGUGAAGCUCGCAGAUGGCCUUGUGGACUUUAGCACUUCAGACACAGCAAGAAGGCAGCAGUCUGCACACCAGGAGGAGAGUCCUCACCACAACUCAGCCCUGCCACACCCUGAUCCUGGACUUUCAGCCUCCAGAGCUGUGAGAAAUAAAUGCCUGCUGUUUCAGCAGCUCA